AUGGCAGAAUCCAGGCAAAGGACAGGAUCCCCCUCCAUUACUGCUGGCUGCCACGUGAGGAUGGACCUGUGUCGGUGGGACACUGCUGUCACUGUGUGUUUCCCCAUGAAGAAGGGGUUCUCACUGUGCUAUCACAAUCACAGGAGAAGUGGGAGAACUACAGGCAGACAUCCUGCACUUGUGGCUACCAGGUUUUUAGGAGAGACGAAUGGUGCUUUGUGUGUAUUCCAUAGCCUGCAGAUAGGAGAAAUCAAAAGUGCCGAGCUGACAACUUAAACUUUGUCAAGUAAAAGGUGAAAACAUGCUUCUCUAAGAAAUCAAAGUGACAGCCCUGAGAGAAGUCACACAUACAGCUGUUUUUAUACAAUGGGUAAUGGUUUCCA
This 383-nucleotide long non-coding RNA is filed under the name Parus major (Great Tit). Its description in RNAcentral is "lncRNA (ENSPMJG00000005838.1)". The record is from RNAcentral. Lineage: Eukaryota; Metazoa; Chordata; Aves; Passeriformes; Paridae.